CAAAGAUACAUCUUUCACGCGGUGGGAACA
This 30-nucleotide ribosomal RNA is filed under the name Tetranychus urticae (two-spotted spider mite). Its description in RNAcentral is "partial 5.8S ribosomal RNA". Lineage: Eukaryota; Metazoa; Arthropoda; Arachnida; Trombidiformes; Tetranychidae. The record is from RNAcentral.